GUCCCCAUCGUCUAGCGGUCAGGACAUCACCCUUUCACGGUGAAGACCCGGGUUCGAUUCCCGGUGGGGACGCCA
RNAcentral lists this transfer RNA (75 nucleotides) under Rugositalea oryzae. RNAcentral describes it as "Rhodoplanes sp. Z2-YC6860 tRNA-Glu". It matches the Rfam family "tRNA". Rfam says of the family: Transfer RNA (tRNA) molecules are approximately 80 nucleotides in length. Their secondary structure includes four short double-helical elements and three loops (D, anti-codon, and T loops). The record is from RNAcentral. Lineage: Bacteria; Pseudomonadati; Pseudomonadota; Alphaproteobacteria; Hyphomicrobiales; Nitrobacteraceae.